UCGUCAACAUUGCCUGUAGACA
This 22-nucleotide microRNA is filed under the name Echinococcus granulosus. Its description in RNAcentral is "egr-miR-2c-5p". Its record names the gene egr-miR-2c-5p. RNAcentral also lists the same sequence under 1 other name. The record is from miRBase by way of RNAcentral. Lineage: Eukaryota; Metazoa; Platyhelminthes; Cestoda; Cyclophyllidea; Taeniidae.